CUCAGCAAGCCAAUGCUUGAAUAUAUGGUGGUUUAAAUGGAGAGAGGUUGGGGUCAGGGAGUAUUUAUGUACCUGUCAUAUGUUCCUUACUCUCCAGUGUCAGCUGCAAGGAGGGAUCAUUCUGGUUAAUCUUUAUGUGCUUCACCAUCUCUCUCUUUUUUUUUUUUUUUUGAGACAGAGUCUCGCUCUGUCACCCAGGCUGGAGUGCAGGGACAUAAUCUUGGCUCGCCACAAGCUCUGCCUCCCAGGUUCAAGCAAUUCUCCUGCCUCAGCCUCCCGAGUAGCUGGGAUUACAGACGUGCACCAUUAUGCCCAACUAAUUUUUUUGUGUUUUUAGUAGAGACGGGGUUUCACCAUCUUGGCCAGGCUGGUCUCGAACUCCUGACCUCAUGAUCCGCCCGCCUAGGCCUUCCAAAGUGCUGGGAUUACAGGCAUGAGCCACCGUGCCCAGCCACGAUCUCUUAAAUAAAGGCGUUUAAGUGUUUGUUCAGCAAAUUGGGCCCAUAAAUUUGGUGGGAAAUAAAUGAAUUGCUUUGAACUGCAUUCAUGAUGAUUGCAUGUGUUUAUCCUUGUUUCCCAAGCCUUUGGUUUUCCCCAAAUACACAGAAAACAGUUGCUCAUCAAUCCUGCCUCUUCCCAAUGAAAAUGAUACAAAUAUAUACAUAUUUUCCUUGUCAGGCAGUUGAAAUAGGUAAAUCCCCAGUGAGAUUCACUCUAGGUACACCCCUGGCCAGAUCUAUAUCUGAAAUGACUGGUUUUUAUGACUUUUUCUUUUUUUUUUUUUUGUUUGAGACAGAGUCUUGUUCUGUCGCCCAGGCUGGAGUGCAGUGGUGCGAUCUCGGCUCACUGCAAGCUCCACCUCCUGGGUUCACACCAUUCUCCUGCCUCAGCCUCCCGAGUAGCUGGGACUACAGGUGCCCGCCACCACGCCUGGCUAAUUUUUUGUAUUUUUAAUAGAGAUGGGGUUUCACCUUGUUAGCCAGGAUGGUCUCGAUCACAUUGGGCCUCAGCAGCUCCCCAGCACCAAUUCACAGGUCACCCCUCUCUUCUUGCACUGUCCCCAAACUUGCUGUCAAUUCCGAGAUCUAAUCUCCCCCUACGCUCUGCCAGGAAUUCUUUCAGACCUCACUAGCACAAGCCCGUAACAGAUGGUAAAGUAAAAUGUUCAGACAAGUAACUCCUUGCUUUACCUCAGGAUACCAAACAACUGGUUCAGUGUCUAUGUCAGUCAGGAUGGGCUGGGUUAGCUGACAUAACAAACAGCCCCAAGUCUCAGUGGCAUAAAGCAACAAAGCUUUAUUUCUUGCACACGCUGCAUGUUCAUCAUGGAACCCAGAUGAAUGCAGCAGUUGCUAUGUGGAAU
Molecule: long non-coding RNA, 1363 nt
Filed under: Homo sapiens (human)
Lineage: Eukaryota; Metazoa; Chordata; Mammalia; Primates; Hominidae
Description: non-protein coding lnc-GPRC5A-2:15
Source: RNAcentral